RNAcentral lists this long non-coding RNA (261 nucleotides) under Mytilus galloprovincialis (Mediterranean mussel). The record is from RNAcentral. Lineage: Eukaryota; Metazoa; Mollusca; Bivalvia; Mytilida; Mytilidae.
AGACAUCACGUGACACGGGUUUAUAAUAACGAAAAGAUAGUCUUUUAAUUUCUUUUUAGGUCGGGACCUUGAACAGACAACAUGUCUAGAGAUGGAAUGUACACAAUGUAAUUUCUUUUGUCAUUGUAGGAAAUUGACAUUUUGAUCACAGUUCACCAGCAGUGCAUGUUUUGGAUUUAAUCGAUCCGGUGUAACUUUAAAACACAUUUAAUGAUUAUUUUUUGAUAAUGUCCAUUUUUCAGCACCUGUUUGUAACACAGA